CAGCGGGGUGGUGAACCUCAGCACCGAGAACAUCUACUCUUUCAACUACACCAGCCAGCCCGACCAGGUGACCGCCGUGAGGGUGUAUGUGAACAGUUCCUCUGAGAAUCUCAACUACCCGGUCCUUGUUGUGGUUCGCCAGCAGAAAGAGGUGCUGUCCUGGCAGGUUCCUCUGCUCUUCCAAGGACUAUACCAGAGGAGCUACAACUAUCAAGAAGUGAGCCGCACCUUGUGUCCCUCAGAAGCAACCAAUGAGACGGGACCCUUGCAGCAACUGAUAUUUGUAGAUGUCGCAUCCAUGGCACCCCUGGGUGCUCAGUACAAACUGCUAGUUACCAAGCUGAAGCACUUCCAGCUCCGGUAAGCGGGACUUUCUCUGUUUACCUGUCUGUGUUUCCUGUGCUUGUGGAUGCUCAAUUCAUCUUCCAUCCUUACAGACUGGUACUCUGGAAGGAAAUUAUCCACUUAGCAUAUGAUUUUAGCACUUCCCGAACUCUCCUGCCCAUAACUGAGCAGCAGGGCCUUAAUCUAUACAAAAGAGUGGGAGUGCAGAAGGUAAGAGUGGU
This 566-nucleotide small RNA is filed under the name Pan troglodytes (chimpanzee). Its description in RNAcentral is "retained intron". Lineage: Eukaryota; Metazoa; Chordata; Mammalia; Primates; Hominidae. The record is from RNAcentral.